This is a non-coding RNA of Dipodomys ordii (Ord's kangaroo rat), 72 nucleotides long. The record is from Rfam. NCBI's taxonomy places the organism in Eukaryota, Metazoa, Chordata, Mammalia, Rodentia, Heteromyidae.
GGGAAGGUGGCUCAGUGGUAGAGUUUUUGCCUUGCAUGCAUGAGACCCUGAGUUCGAUCCCUCAGCACCCCA